UAGAAGGCCAAUGGCCCACAGCGUGCAGGGUGCAGUUUAUUAAGACAUAUUAGUCAUGUCAGUAAGUGUGAACUUUAUCCCAGUUGCCUGUGAGAAGAGACACUGGAAGCUUUCAGCCAUGGAAAUGACACGAUGCAGUUGGCAUUUUGUAAAUAUCACUCUGGUAACAGUUGGAAAAAGAAGCUUAACCCCCGACACGAAGUGACUAGUUAUUGAGCUGUUCCAGUAAUCCAAGUAAGAGAUGAUGGAGUGAUAAGAAAGAAGAAAACAGAAAGGAGGAAAAAACCUUGAGGGAGUGGAAUUGCUAAGUCCCAGUACUGUGGAUAAAGAAGCCCUCAUCCAGUGGCUGAUGGAAGCAGACAGACGUCCACAGAAAUACACUGAGCUGAAAUAUGGAACCUAGUUGAAGAGAGGGAGGAAUGAAGAUCGAAGGGAUAACAUUUGCAUCCGGAGAGCCUUGUCCAUUGCAGUAAAGUGACUUCGUCCUCUGCAUCAGCUGUGGGGAGAAGGGUAGAACUGAAGAAACGGAGGGACAGAAAGCCAGUCCCAGAGCAUGCUCUUUAGAGGAGAGACUCCCCUCACCUUAUGGAACAGCCGUGGAAAUGUGUUCAGUGGCAAAAGUGACCAUAGAGCCUUCUGUCCAGAAGCUGCUCUGGGCAGCUGCGAUAUCACGUGUGUAUGGAAAUCAGGUAGUUUUACCAGCCCAGAUGGAC
This 713-nucleotide long non-coding RNA is filed under the name Cricetulus griseus (Chinese hamster). RNAcentral's name for it is "lncRNA (ENSCGRG00015032332.1)". Lineage: Eukaryota; Metazoa; Chordata; Mammalia; Rodentia; Cricetidae. The record is from RNAcentral.